CUACGGGUGGCUGCAGUGGGGAAUUUUGCGCAAUGGGCGAAAGCCUGACGCAGCGACGCCGCGUGAGGGAUGAAGGUCUUCGUGAUCGUAAACCUCUGUCAGGAAGGAUUAAAUGCACAGAUGUUAAUAACAUCUGUGUUUGACUUAACUUCCAGAGGAAGCCCCGGCUAACUACGUGCCAGCAGCCGCGGUAAUACGUAGGGGGCAAGCGUUACUCGGAUUUAUUGGGCGUAAAGCGAAUGUAGGCGGUUUUGUAAGUCAGGGGUGAAAUCCCUCAGCUUAACUGAGGAAUUGCCCUUGAUACUACAUAACUUGAGGACAGGAGAGGAAAGUGGAAUUCCCGGUGUAGCGGUGGAAUGCGUAGAUAUCGGGAGGAACACCAGAGGCGAAGGCGGCUUUCUGGACUGAUCCUGACGCUGAGAUUCGAAAGCCAGGGGAGCAAACAGGAUUAGAUACCCCCGUAGUC
Molecule: ribosomal RNA, 466 nt
Filed under: uncultured bacterium
Lineage: Bacteria
Description: partial 16S ribosomal RNA
Rfam family: Bacterial small subunit ribosomal RNA
Source: RNAcentral